AAAUUGAAGAGUUUGAUCAUGGCUCAGAUUGAACGCUGGCGGCAGGCCUAACACAUGCAAGUCGAACGGUAACAGGAAGCAGCUUGCUGCUUUGCUGACGAGUGGCGGACGGGUGAGUAAUGUCUGGGAAACUGCCUGAUGGAGGGGGAUAACUACUGGAAACGGUGGCUAAUACCGCAUAACGUCGCAAGACCAAAGAGGGGGACCUUCGGGCCUCUUGCCAUCAGAUGUGCCCAGAUGGGAUUAGCUUGUUGGUGGGGUAACGGCUCACCAAGGCGACGAUCCCUAGCUGGUCUGAGAGGAUGACCAGCCACACUGGAACUGAGACACGGUCCAGACUCCUACGGGAGGCAGCAGUGGGGAAUAUUGCACAAUGGGCGCAAGCCUGAUGCAGCCAUGCCGCGUGUAUGAAGAAGGCCUUCGGGUUGUAAAGUACUUUCAGCGGGGAGGAAGGUG
RNAcentral lists this ribosomal RNA (456 nucleotides) under Salmonella enterica. Its description in RNAcentral is "bacterial SSU rRNA". It matches the Rfam family "Bacterial small subunit ribosomal RNA", at positions 1 to 453 of the family's 1533-position model. RNAcentral also lists the same sequence under 2 other names. Lineage: Bacteria; Pseudomonadati; Pseudomonadota; Gammaproteobacteria; Enterobacterales; Enterobacteriaceae. The record is from RNAcentral.